AGAGCGAACGCUGGCGGCAGGCCUAACACAUGCAAGUCGAGCGCCCGUAGCAAUACGGGAGCGGCAGACGGGAGAGUAACACGUGGGAACGUACCCUUCAGUUCGGAAUAACCCAGGGAAACUUGGACUAAUACCGAAUACGUCCGUAAGGAGAAAGAUUUAUCGCUGAAGGAUCGGCCCGCGUCUGAUUAGCUUGUUGGUGAGGUAAUGGCUCACCAAGGCGACGAUCAGUAGCUGGUCUGAGAGGAUGAUCAGCCUCACUGGGACUGAGACACGGCCCAGACUCCUACGGGAGGCAGCAGUGGGGAAUAUUGGACAAUGGGCGCAAGCCUGAUCCAGCCAUGCCGCGUGGAUGAUGAAGGCCCUAGGGUUGUAAAGUCCUUUCGACGGGAAGAUAAUGACGGUACCCGUAGAAGAAGCCCGGCUAACUUCGUGCCAGCAGCCGC
RNAcentral lists this ribosomal RNA (446 nucleotides) under uncultured bacterium. RNAcentral's name for it is "SSU rRNA". It matches the Rfam family "Bacterial small subunit ribosomal RNA", at positions 26 to 518 of the family's 1533-position model. The record is from RNAcentral.